GAAUAUUGCGCAAUGGGCGAAAGCCUGACGCAGCGACGCCGCGUGUGGGAUGACGGCCUUCGGGUUGUAAACCACUGUCGGGAGGGACGAAGAUCUGACGGUACCUCCAGAGGACGCACCGGCUCACUCUGUGCCAGCAGCCGCGGUAAUACAGAGGGUGCAAGCGUUGUCCGGAAUUACUGGGCGUAAAGGGCGCGUAGGCGGCCCGAUAAGUAGGGGGUGAAAUUCCGCGGCUCAACCGCGGGGCGGCCUUCUAGACUGUCAGGCUUGAGCACGGUAGAGGCGAAUGGAAUUCCCGGUGUAGCGGUGGAAUGCGUAGAGAUCGGGAAGAACACCAGUGGCGAAGGCGGUCCGCUGGGCCGUUGCUGACGCUGAGGCGCGACAGCGUGGGGAGCAAACAGG
RNAcentral lists this ribosomal RNA (402 nucleotides) under uncultured bacterium. Its description in RNAcentral is "bacterial SSU rRNA". It matches the Rfam family "Bacterial small subunit ribosomal RNA", at positions 359 to 776 of the family's 1533-position model. The record is from RNAcentral.